GUGAGUAUGGAAACAGCCAGCGCGGAGAGGAAGGAUAUGGCAUUUCUGAGCUCAGCUUACCGUAUCUGGGUCUGAAAUUCAGGAGGGGGCGGAUGUUUAAGUGGUUUAAAGACUCUUCAGCACUCAUUUGAAAGGCAGAAGGACUAGAGGACGAGAUCUAAAGCAUAAGCACCCCCAGCAGUGUGAUAAGGAGUGAUGUAAGGAGUGAUACGGUCACCGGGUGCUCCUGGAAACUGAUUUCUUCUCUUGAACUCUUCUGCAUUUCUGCAGCUCCCUACGAAUGUGUUAGAGCCUCUACUGGCAUCAACUGACAUGGCUCAGCGGAGGAAAUCAACUCAGCUGUGUCUUGGCACAACCAAUACCUUACCAGGAAUCACAUCUAUCUUUCAGGUAGAUGAACAAUCUGUUCUGUGUAAUACACUUCCAUUUGUCGGCAGGGCAAACGUAAAAAGUGUUAAAAUAAUUACCUACCUAUGACAAAUAUAAUUGUAAAUAUCUUUAUUAAAGACACUAAAU
This is a long non-coding RNA of Neopsephotus bourkii (Bourke's parrot), 516 nucleotides long. RefSeq lists it as uncharacterized. The record is from RefSeq and is a predicted model, not a curated record. The transcript has 2 exons. NCBI's taxonomy places the organism in Eukaryota, Metazoa, Chordata, Aves, Psittaciformes, Psittacidae.